Molecule: long non-coding RNA, 4440 nt
Filed under: Homo sapiens (human)
Lineage: Eukaryota; Metazoa; Chordata; Mammalia; Primates; Hominidae
Description: non-protein coding lnc-ASB3-1:11
Source: RNAcentral
CUUUAACUUGUCUGUGUUUCCCAGAGAAUGUGUUCUCAUUAUUUUGUCUGCUGUUUUGUACCUUUGGACAUUCCACCAAUGAUGAAAUUCAGACAGUUCUAUCAGAUUUCGCUUCAAAAAUUUUGGACCUUUGUUACUAGGUACAUAAACAUCUGAGGUGUUUAUUGGAGCUCUUUGCCUAGAACUGAUAAUUGGAUUCAUGGUAUUCUGGAGAACAAGGAAGAAAACUGAAGCCCAGAAAGCUUAAUAUAUUACCCAAAGAGUUAGUCCACAUUGAACUGGGAGUUAAUCCUUGUCUGUCUGGCUGGAAAGCUUUUGCUCUGUAUCUUGGAUGAAUAAACUAAACCUUAGGGAAUCUUCCUAGAAGUAAAAAUACUGAAGCUUACAGGCUCAGAAUGAUUUUUCCUAAACGGCGUAGAUAUGGUAAGUAUGACGGGAGUUAGCCAGGCGUUAAUGAAGUACCACUGUUAAAGGGUGAGUAUCGUGAUAUUCUAAGAGGAUAACAGAGGAAGCUCAGUAACCCAUGUAGCAAGGAAUUCUUAGUUGCCUGCUUGAUGUUAGCCACCUGCCUUUCUCUUUCCUGAAUACAAGGCAGUGGGUAGGGGAAUUGGCUACAGAGGGUAGAAUGGCAUCAGGGCUUAUGCCACAUAAAAAGAUCUGGUUAUUCUCCUUAAUUCUGAUCCAGUAGGCUUGCUGAGCCCUUCUUAGAAGUGAAUUAUUUUAGUGUUAAUAAGAAGUCAGGCCCAAGAUAUAUUAAAUUCUUACUUUUCAUUUGUGGUUGCCAUGUCAUCCUGUAUGCUGAUUUGCUUUAGCUUAGUGACCUAUUUUUCAAGUAGCUAAUGCACUGAUGCCAAUGCAGAGGCCUUUGUGAAUAACUUUUGGCCACUGGGUUGAGGUAAAAUGUUCAUUUUCUGAUUCUGUGGUGCACAGGCAGAAAAGCGUAGGCUGUGGAACAGAUUUCCCAUGCACUGCUGCUGCUCUGCAUUACUGAACACGGGCUCAGCCAUUUGGCUUUUCUUGGACUUUUCAUUUUCAGAGACAGAGCCCCAUUUUACUUCUGUUUUUUUCUGUUAAUCAAUAAGCUGCAAAUAAAACUGCUGAAACCUGAUUUCCUCCCAGAGUACUUUUUUUCUGUGGAUGCUUCAGAUUCAGAGGGACUAGAGUUUCCAAUGAGGAUUGUUUUGACUUUUAAAAAAGGAACUGUAGUUCUGCUCCUGAAAAUAAAGGAAGUUAACAUUUCAAAGUAGGUCUCUGAACAAAACAUCUGCUGCAAAAACUUUGUGAUUGCUUUUUAAAGAAUAUACCAGGAAGACCAAGAAUAAGAGAAGAUGAGGAUAUUAGGGGAUGGAAUCACUCCUCCUUCUAUUCAUAAUUAUUUAGUGUAUAAAGACAAUCUACACCUCUUCAGCCUUCUUUUAUAUCUUUAAACUUCAGCAACAAGACCUAUAAAUUACCCUACUCCUUUCAAAAUCUCUUUUCAAGGAAAGAUGUAAGAAACUAUCUCAUAUGAAGAUUUAAAUGAUUGAUCAAACUUUCAAUAUUAUUCGUAAAAAGGAGUAUCUGAACUUAAAUAGAUAACCCCUCAAGCUAAAUUAAUGAUGUUUUGUGGUAUAUUUAGAGCUGUGUUUUUAUUUAUUAUUUGACAGAACUAAAAGGUCCCUAAAAUCAUGUGUGACUGCCUUUUUGUAAAACUGUACUAGAUUUGAAUCAUUGCUUUUCCUGACAGCUUCUUCUAAUGAAAUCUUACUCAUUAACUGCAGGAACAAUUGCAGAAUCCCACUCCACUCCCUGUAAUCAUGUUGGAACCUGGAAGGAAAUGAUCCAAGACUUCUUUUAUUAUAAAGCUUGACAGUAAUCACAUUGUAUAGCCUGGCAUCCUAGAAUGAGUUGGGCCAAACAGAUUCCUUUCUUGGGAGGAAUCUUCAUCCCUUUUCUUACUUCCUCUAGCAAUACUUUCAUGUUCAAGAGAGGUCAGACACUGAGGCAAAUUAAGUUUAUCAUUGCUCUCACUCUUAUUUUUAACUCAUUGAUUUCUUUUGCUGAGAUUCAUUCCCAUGACAACAACACAGGCCACUUGGGUUAAGAGCUCAAAAGAGCAAUGAAACUUGAGAGGAUCCAUUUUGUUUUUGUCCCAUUUGGUAUCAUUUCCAGAUGCUACUCACUGCCUUAUACAUCACACUGUCCCUGAGUCCUCAGGGUAUCUGUGAUAAAUUUUGAGAUCUUUUUAUUUCCUUGCCCAGUAAGAAAGGGCACUUUGUUUUUCCUGAUAUGGGAAAUAUUUUUACUUUCUCAGAAGCUUUUGUUCCCCAUACUUUGAUUAACAAUACUAAGUUAUAAAAUCUGUAAGGACAAGAUGGCUCAAAUGCAUCACCCCCUCCACAGGGACUUUGUACAGGGCAUUUCCUCCAUCUUUCCUGCUCUCUCCCUUCCCUCUUUCAUUAGCCAUAUCAACUCACACUGAUUGUUUCUCUCAGCUGAAAGGUUACUUCCUCAGGGAAGACUGCCCAGGACACUCAGAAUGGAUUUGUCCCCACUGCUUUUCCUGCCUAUAAUCUCCUUAUAAUUCUUCCUCAAAGCAUAUACUGUAACUGGUAACUAUAUAUUUCUGGGAAUAUUUAAAUAAUAUUCUUUCCCCAACUAGGCUGUGAGCUCCUGAAGAUAGGGAACCUGGCACUUUGGUUUAUAUUUAAAUCUCAGCACCCAGCAGAAUGACUGACAACUAGUAGACUUGGUAGGUAUUUAUUUAUUGCAUGGAUGGAAGAAUCUCUAAUUUCUCCCUCUUAAGGCUACAAUCAGUUUGACAGUUUAUCUGUGUGUGUGACUCAACCUGAGUUGCUAUAAAAAAUAUAAUAGACUGGGUGGCUUAAAUAAUAGAAAUUUAUUUCUGAAAGUUCUACAGCUUAUCACUAUGUCCUCACAUGACAGAGCAUAAGAGAGGAAGAGGGAGCUCUCUUUCUCUUCUUCUAAGGCCAGUAUAAAGAAAAAUAAAUAAAUAAACAACAAAAAAUAAGGCCAGUAUAAUACCAUAUCAUAGUUGUGGCUUUCCAGAGAAACAUAACCAAAAAGAAGUAUGUGGAUAGAUAGAAAGAUAGAUAGAUGGAUAGAUAGAUAGAUUAAUAGAGAUCUAUAUAAUGGGAAUUGGCUCAUAUGAUUAUGGAGGAUAAAAAGUCCCAUGGUCUGCUGUCUGCAAGCUGGAGGACCAGGAAAGUUAAUAGUGUAAUUCAGUCUGAGCCCAAAGGCCUGAGAAUCAGGGGAGCCAAUAGUAUAAAUACCAGUUCCUGGACAAAGGCCUGGGGACUAGGGGUAAGGGUAGGGGUAGGGGUGGGAGUGGAGGGUGGGUGUGGUGAAAGUCCUGGAGGUGUCUGAGGGCAGGAGAAGAUCGAUACCUUUCAAACACAGAAUGAUAAUUCACCCUUCUUCUGCCUUUUUGUUCUAUAUGGGCCUUCAACAGAUUGAAUGGUACCCACACUGGGGUGAGCUAUCUACUUUACUCAGUUCAUCAAUUCAAAUGCUAGUAUCUUCUGGAAACACCCUCACAGACAUAUCCAGAAAUAAUGUUUUACCAGCUUCCUGGUAAUCUCUUAGUCCAGUGAAGUUGACACAUAAAAUUAAGCAGCACAGUCAACAAUCCUAUUGGAUUAAGCGGUCUAUGGUUAUGACCUCAUUUAACCUUUAUCACCUCCUCAUAUGCCCUAUCUCCAAAUACAGUCACAUUGGUGGCUAGAGCUUCAGAACUCACACACACACACACACACACACACACACACACACGUAUAUUUUAGGAGGGGUCACAAUUUAUUCUAAUAGCACCAGGUUAUACUUAUUUGACUUGAAGUUGCCUCAGUCCUUCCAGCAGAUACUAACUUAGCACUCUCUACUUUUCACUUUUCUUAUUUGCAAGCAAAUCUUUAUUUUUUUUUAUAAAAGAGUGUUCAGUUUCUGUUAACUCUACAGGUUUUCUCUCUCUUUCUUUCUCUCUCCCUCUCUUGAUUUCUUUCUCUUUGUUGCUGUUUGGCUUUGAAGAAAAUAAAAAUCUUUUUCUGAGUAUAUUUUUUAUGUGAAUUGAAAGUUGUGGUACAGGAUGGCAACAACAGAAGUGUAUUAAUGUAAGCAAGACUCAGAAAUCAUUAUUUAUGCAUUCAAAAAGUAAAUAUAUUUCCAGUUUUUGUGUGUGCCACUGAAUUUCGUUGGGUUUUGAUAUUCUUUCUUCUGUGGUUUUUAUUUUCCUCCCAUUCAUAUACUUGAUUGAAGGUGAAUCCUAGUUCUUAUAUCUUCCUCAACAGAAAAGUUGUAUUUGUCUCCAAGUGCUCUAUUUAAUUUUUUAAAAUGAUUUUUAUUACUCUGUACAAGGGAGUCAUCUGGAAAUGGCAUUCCUUAAUAAACUGCCCUUAUUUUUUCUUGUGAAAGAAGUUCUGUUUUCUGUUUUUCAUCUUCAAAUGG